CUGAGGACUUAAAUACAGGCUGGGUGAUGAAUGUUUAGAAACCGCACUUCCAGGAGGAUGGAGGUCUUUCUCUUUGAAAGGUUUAUGGACCAGACUGCAGGAGUGGACUGGAAAACUGACUGUAAUGAUGGAAGGACACUCAAGCCUGUUUUAGUCUCAUAAGAGUACAGGUCCAUGAGGAAAUCACACCAUUUGCCUUUGAGAGGAAAUCCUUUAUAUCUGCACACUGAUGAUAACAGCUCCAGUAUCUUCUCUCCUGUCCUCUGUUCUCUCUCUGCUGCUGCACGGAACAGAUUCCCAAAGAACCUGACUGCUUCAUCUAACUUCCAUGGAAUAACUCUGGAACAAUAAGAAGAAAACAUUUAGUUAUGGGUUGAUCUGAGCUACAUAAAUACAACCACACACUCCAUCUUGUCCAUGUGUAAAUGUUCUCAUGAGUGCGACUGAUGUGUAAAGUGUUCAAAAUAUCCGUUAGAUAACUGGUUAUCCAUGAUCUCAAGUCGGAGAAUGUGGAUGUGGUGAAGAUGGGGACAAUUCUUUUUUUUCUUUUUUUUUGGCGGGGGGCAAAGAAUUUUCAGGGGAUGAAGUCCUGGGUAAGAGACCAUACAAACAGCAAUUCGGAAAACCCCUGUGAGUAGAAGAUUUAACGAAUAGUUCAUCCCGCGGAAAGGAAAGUGCCUGGUGGCCUGGCCUUAGACCAGGCACAGCCCAAAGAAGGGACAUUGCCCCCCCCCCCCCCCCCCCCCUUCCUGUAGGCCCACCACCUGCAGGAGUCACCGUAAGGGUCAGGUGAAUGGUAAAAAUGGUAAAUGGCCUGCAUUUGUAUAGCGCUUUUCUAGUCCCUAAGGACCCCAAAGCGCUUCACACUACAUUCAGUCAUUCACACACUGGUGAAGUGCAUACUGGGUGAUGGCCAGGGGUAGAGACAGA
Long non-coding RNA from Astatotilapia calliptera (eastern happy), 930 nucleotides. NCBI's taxonomy places the organism in Eukaryota, Metazoa, Chordata, Actinopteri, Cichliformes, Cichlidae. The record is from Ensembl.